RNAcentral lists this long non-coding RNA (1524 nucleotides) under Brassica rapa (field mustard). RNAcentral describes it as "long non-coding RNA (BRAP_LNC005927)". Lineage: Eukaryota; Viridiplantae; Streptophyta; Magnoliopsida; Brassicales; Brassicaceae. The record is from RNAcentral.
GCCCACCAACUACUAUGGCCCCAAGUCCAGAAACAGUCCCUGAUAUGGCUUCGCCACCGAUGAUGCCGGGAAUGGAUUCUUCUCCUUCUCCGGGACCCAUGCCACCGGCAAUGGCCUCUCCAGAUUCCGGAGCAUUCAAUGUAAGAAACGACGUCGUAGCAAUUUCGUUCCUUGUUGCAGCUCAUUUGCUCCUAGUUUGAGAUUAUUAUUAAAUUGGCCAGCGUCGUGUUUGUGUAAUUUACUUUCAUUUUUUCUCGAGCCAUUAGUUUUCAUGUUUUAUCAUAUAUUUGGGUUUGUGUUUGAUAUGGUACGAUUCAGACAUUUGUUUGCUUAAUAAGUUUAUCGUUGACUCUAUUUGAUGCAUGUGAUGUAAAUUCAUUUUUAUCCAAAUUUUCACAGACGAACUAUCAAUAACCAGUAUUAUCAAUAUAUAUCUCGUUGUUAGUUGGAUGAUAUCAAAUUAUCAAUGCAUAUGGUGGUUCACAAGAAAAGGAAAAAAAAGAGAUAAAUGUGUAUAUAUUUAACAAGCUUGAGGUAACUAUUUGUAGCAAAUAAAAUAAAAUACGUUAGUGAGAAAUGUUAUCUUUCUAGAACGAAUACGAAUAAAGCAAAAAGCUAAAAUUGCAAGCUGUGUGUCAUAAGAAUCGCAUAUGUAAAGAAAAAGAGGUCGCCAUCUUGGAUUUUUCUAUAGAAUAAAUUAUUUUUAAUUCUGUGUAGGUUACAUUUAUUUUAAAAAAUAAAAAAUAAAAAAAACAUUUAUUUUUUUUAUUUUUUUGAGCAAGGUUACAUUUAUUUUAUUUCAUGGAAUAAUACAUGUACAAGAUUUGAAUUUGUAAGAAAAUUAAGAAAAUUCAAAAAAAGAAUGGGAAGAAUAUGAAAGAGGUAGUGAAUAACAAUUGUAGGGAAUAGGGAUAAAGCAGGACUCGAGAGGACAGCUAAAAAGAAAGAGACGUUCACAUGACUGUCUUUUUCAUUUGCCCCCACCAUUUUCCAAUGUGUAUUAUUAGAAAUCAUAACGCAGUUUAAUUGUCUUUAAGUCAUGUUAGUUAUUUAUCUAAAGCCAUGUGGUGCAUAGGUGCUAUGUUUAAAUCAUUUUUUGAAUGAAUGUUAACUUUAUUCAUCAAAAAGCCAUGUGGUACAUAGGUGCUAUGGUUUUUACUGUUAUAAGCUAUACAAAAGGAUACCGUCUGCUACCAAACCAACAUAAAAGAAUGUUUCCAAAUCUAUUAUUAUCGGAUUGCGUCAAUAAUCUGAGAUGAUUUCAAACAUUCUUGUCAAUCAUUUUUGCCAAGGUUUGAUGAGGCGUAGGCGUAGGACCACAAGCCUCAGAUUUUUUGGGUUAGUAAAAAUAUAAAUGUAGAUACAUCAUCAACCUACGGCGUGUUGUUUGUUAGCUAUGGACUGUCAAAUGUGUACAACAUAUUUGUAGGAUUUGAGAUUGGUGUUGUUUACAAGCCCUGCAAGUGAGAACACGGAUGUGGCUGGGAUGUUCUUGGGGAAGUCCAGCCAUGAAGAAGAGAUGCA